RNAcentral lists this ribosomal RNA (492 nucleotides) under uncultured bacterium. RNAcentral's name for it is "partial 16S ribosomal RNA". It matches the Rfam family "Bacterial small subunit ribosomal RNA", at positions 29 to 507 of the family's 1533-position model. The record is from RNAcentral.
AGUGAACGCUGGCGGUAGGCCUAACACAUGCAAGUCGAACGGCAGCACAGUAAGAGCUUGCUCUUACGGGUGGCGAGUGGCGGACGGGUGAGGAAUACAUCGGAAUUUACUUUUUCGCGGGGGAUAACGUAGGGAAACUUACGCUAAUAUCGCAUACGACCUACGGGUGAAAGCAGGGGAUCUUCGGACCUUGCGCGAUUGUAUGAGCCGAUGUCGGAUUAGCUAGUUGGCGGGGUAAAGGCCCACCAAGGCGAUGAUCCGUAGCUGGUCUGAGAGGAUGAUCAGCCACACUGGAACUGAGACACGGUCCAGACUCCGACGGGAGGCAGCAGUGGGGAAUAUUGGACAAUGGGCGCAAGCCUGAUCCAGCCAUACCGCGUGGGUGAAGAAGGCCUUCGGGUUGUAAAGCCCUUUUGUUGGGAAAGAAAAGCAGCAGGUUAAUACCCCGCUGUUCUGACGGUACCCAAAGAAUAAGCACCGGCUAACUUCGUG